Molecule: ribosomal RNA, 469 nt
Filed under: uncultured bacterium
Lineage: Bacteria
Description: bacterial SSU rRNA
Rfam family: Bacterial small subunit ribosomal RNA
Source: RNAcentral
UACCCAGACUCCUACGGGAGGCAGCAGUGAGGAAUAUUGGUCAAUGGACGCAAGUCUGAACCAGCCAAGUAGCGUGCAGGAUGACGGCCCUCCGGGUUGUAAACUGCUUUUAGUUGGGAAUAAAAGGGGGCUCGUGAGCCCCGUAUUGUAUGUACCAUCAGAAAAAGGACCGGCUAAUUCCGUGCCAGCAGCCGCGGUAAUACGGAAGGUCCGGGCGUUAUCCGGAUUUAUUGGGUUUAAAGGGAGCGUAGGCCGGCUUUUAAGUCAGCUGUGAAAGUCCGCGGCUCAACCGUGGAAUUGCAGUUGAAACUGGAGGCCUUGAGUGCACACAGGGAUGCCGGAAUUCAUGGUGUAGCGGUGAAAUGCUUAGAUAUCAUGAAGAACCCCGAUUGCGAAGGCAGCCUGCCGCAGCGUUACUGACGCUGAAGCUCGAAAGCGCGGGUAUCGAACAGGAUUAGAUACCCGAGUA